GCAGUCAGGUAGGGCAUCAAGGCAGUAUAGCAGAGCAUCAAGGCAGUAUAGCAGAGCAUCAAGGCAGUCAGUUGGGGCAUCAAGGCAGUAUAGCAGAGCAUCAAUGCAGUCAGGUAGGGCAUCAAGGCAGUCUAGCAGGGCAUCAAGGCAGUCAGGUAGGGCAUCAAGGCUGUCAGGUAGGGCAUCAAGGCAGUCUAGUAGGGCAUCAAGGCAGUCUAGCAGGGCAUCAAGGCAGUCAGGUAGGGGCAUCAAGGCAGUCAGGUAGGGUAUCAAGGCAGUCAGGUAGGGUAUCAAGGCAGUCUAGCAGGGCAUCAAGGCAGUCAGGUAGGGCAUCAAGGCUGUCAGGUAGGGCAUCAAGGCAGUCUAGUAGGGCAUCAAGGCAGUCUAGUAGGGCAUCAAGGCAGUCUAGCGGGACAUCAAGGCAGUCUAGUAGGGCAUCAAUGCAGUCUAGCAGGGCAUCAAGGCAGUCAGGUAGGGCAUCAAGGCAGUAUAGCAGAGCAUCAAGGCAGUCAGUUGGGGCAUCAAGGCAGAAUAGCAGAGCAUCAAUGCAGCCAGGUGGGGCAUCAAGGCAGUCCGGUAUGGUGUCAAGGCUGUCAGGUAGGGGCAUCAAGGCUGUCAGGUAGGGCAUCAAGGCUGUCAGGUAGGGCAUCAAGGCUGUCAGGCAGGGCAUCAAGGCAGUUUAGCAGGGCAUCAGGGCAGUCAGGUAGGGCAUCAAGGCAGUCAGGUAGGGCAUCAAGGCAGUCAAGUGGGGCAUCAAGGCAGUAUAGCAGAGCAUCAAGGCAGCCAGGUGGGGCAUCAAGGCAGUCGGGUGGGGCAUCAAGGCAGUCGGGUAGGGCAUCAAGGCAGUCGGGUAGGGCAUCAAAGCAGUCGGGUAGGGCAUCAAGGCAGUCAGGUUGGGCAGCAAGGCAGUCAAGUGGGGUAUCAAGGCAGUCAGGUGGGGUAUCAAGGCAGUCAGGUAGGGACAUCAAGGCAGUCAGGUAGGGUAUCAAGGCAGUCAGGUAGGGACAUCAAGGCAGUCAGGUAGGGCAUCAAGGCAGUCUGGCGGGGCAUCAAGGCAGUCAGGUAGGGCAUCAAGGCAGUCUAGCAGGGCAUCAAGGCAGUCUAGCAGGGCAUCAAGGCAGUCAGGUAGGGCAUCAAGGCAGUCUAGCAGGGCAUCAAGGCAGUCAGGUUGGGCAGCAAGGCAGUCAAGUGGGGUAUCAAGGCAGUCAGGUAGGGACAUCAAGGCAGUCAGGUAGGGUAUCAAGGCAGUCAGGUAGGGCAUCAAGGCAGUCAGGUAGGGCAUCAAGGCAGUCUAGCAGGGCAUCAAGGCAGUCAGGUAGGGCAUCAAGGCAGUCUACUAGGGCAUCAAGGCAGUCUAGGAGGGCGUCAAGGCAGUCUAGUAGGGUAUCAAGGCAGUCUAGCAGGGCAUCAAGGCAGUCAGGUAGGGCAUCAAGGCAGUAUAGCAGAGCAUCAAGGCAGUCAGUUGGGGCAUCAAGGCAGUAUAGCAGAGCAUCAAUGCAGCCAGGUGGGGCAUCAAGGCAGUCCGGUAUGGUGUCAAGGCUGUCAGGUAGGGGCAUCAAGGCUGUCAGGUAGGGCAUCAAGGCAGUCUGGUAGGGCAUCAAGGCAGUCUGGUAGGGCAUCAAAGCAGUCAGGUUGGGCAGCAAGGCAGUCAGGUUGGGCAGCAAGGCAGUCAAGUAGGGUAUCAAGGCAGUCAGGUAGGGACAUCAAGGCAGUCAGGUAGGGCAUCAAGGCAGUAUAGCAGAGCAUCAAGGCAGUUUAGCAGGGCAUCAGGGCAGUCAGGUAGGGCAUCAAGGCAGUCAGGUAGGGCAUCAAGGCAGUCAGGUGGGGCAUCAAGGCAGCCAGGUGGGGCAUCAAGGCAGCCAGGUGGGGCAUCAAGGCAGUCGGGUAGGGCAUCAAGGCAGUCGGGUAGGGCAUCAAAGCAGUCAGGUAGGGCAUCAAGGCAGUCAGGUUGGGC
This 1954-nucleotide unclassified non-coding RNA is filed under the name Saccoglossus kowalevskii. RNAcentral describes it as "hornerin-like, transcript variant X2". The record is from RNAcentral. Lineage: Eukaryota; Metazoa; Hemichordata; Enteropneusta; Harrimaniidae.